RNAcentral lists this transfer RNA (70 nucleotides) under Cavia porcellus (domestic guinea pig). It matches the Rfam family "tRNA". Rfam says of the family: Transfer RNA (tRNA) molecules are approximately 80 nucleotides in length. The record is from Rfam by way of RNAcentral. Lineage: Eukaryota; Metazoa; Chordata; Mammalia; Rodentia; Caviidae.
GGUGAUUUAGCUCAGUGGCAUAAGCACCUGCCUUGCAAGCAGGUGGUCGUGAGUUCGAUCCUUGGUACCG